CAGGCAGCGCUUGGCAAUCUCUGUGAGUCUCUCCUCCGUGUGCUGCUGGGCUCUGCUCCGCCCCCCCUCCUCCUGCUCUCCUGCACUCCUGCUGUACACUGACUUCCGGGUACAGGGGAGACAACGGCUGCAGCUGCUGCUUAUCACAGCAAGUGAAGUCUCUCCCUCCAUUCCCUCCAUUCCCUCCCACCCCUCGUGCAAGUGCUCCUUAUAUUGUAGGUACCCUAUGGAUUUCGACAGGACAAGUGGACGAGAAUGGCUGCGUGGGGUGUAGGCGAUCGGAGUGUGAUUGACAGGAAGUGGGUGUUUCUGGGCGGAAACAGGCCGUUUUAUGGGCGUGUUGGAAAAAACGCUACCGUUUCUGUGAAAAACGCGGGAGUGGCUGGAGAAACGGAGGAGUGUCUGGCCGAACGCUGGGUGUGUUUAUGACGUCAAACCAGGAACGACAAGCACUGAACUGAUCGCAGAUGCCGAGUAAGGUUGAAGUUACUCAGAAACUGCUAAGAGGUCCUAUGCUUGACAGCACAACAACAACUGAUACACAUACAGAAGAAGGCCCAGAAAUAGGACAUGUGGAUGAGAUGAUAACACUGGCAUUGUUUGACAUCACACCACCUAGGGCAGGGAUGGGGAACCUUUGGCCCUCCAGCUGAUGUUGAACUACACAUCCCAGCAUGCAGUGUUACAGUUUUAGCAUGGCCAAAUAGCAAAACUGUUGCAGAGCAUGCUGGUAUGUGUAGUUUAGCAACAGCUGGACGGCCAAAGGUUCCCCAUCCCUGACCUAGGGUGUCAAGCCCAACACCACCAACCUCUCAACCAGACUCGCCCACAUCAACACCUGCCGCCGAUACUGGAGCAUAAUUGCUACAGGCUGUGGCUUCCUUUGAAAACUGGCAAAGUUGAAGUUAUGGGGGAUCAAAUUUGUCAACUAGCCCAAAUAAAUACACAAAUGAGCAGUUGAAAUUGUACACUCUCUGCCAUAAAUGUCACCAUGAAUGGGUUGUGCACUAGUGCAUCACACUAAAUAAUAUCUCCCAACUGUCCCGAUUUUUCGUGUGACAGUCUCGUUUUUUUGGGACUGUCCCACCCAUGGGACUGUCCCACGGUGGGAGGAGGUGCAGUUGGGAGGCUCCUGUCACUCCUGUGUCUCCUGCUAGCAGAGCAGCGGUGAAUAGACAAUGUACGCAUGCGCACAGCGUUUAUUCAUGAGACAGAGAUACUGGGGGAAUGGCCAGCAGCUCACAGAGCGCUGGCCAUGCCUCACCUGUGACAAAAACAGGAGGCGUGGAAGGCAGCCGCGGAUUUGCCGCGAAGACAUGCCCCUUUUCCUGAGACCAGACCCGUUUCUGGUAGGGCGUGGCUUUGCCACGCAGAAAUUUCCCGCUUAACAGAUUCAAAAUGUUGGGUGGUAUGCUAAAUACUGUAGAAUGCAUAGCAUUAAAUAGAUUGCAUGACUCCAAUUUAAGAAUGUAGUAAUCCUUCCUUAGGAAGCAGGAAUCAGAAAAUAACACCCUAAGGGAUUUAAAUAUUAGCACACUGACUUUUGGCAGCCAACUAUUAGCUAAAAUGUUGGAAACAGUGGCUACUUUAUCUUCGGUUUUUCUCACAGCGGGCAAUCAGAUCUGAACUGCGUAUGCACCGCAUUGCGUAGGUUGGUUGCACGGCUGCAAUGGGGAUUGCCUGUCAGCGAUGGUAUUGUGCGAAGGAUCCAUUCGUACGGAUGUUCACAAGGAGAUUGACAGGAAGAGGUCAUUUGUGGGUGGCAACUGACCGUUUUUAGGGAGUGUCCGAAAAAAUGCAGGCGGGCUCAAGCAUUUCCAGGGAGGGUGUCUGACGUCAAAUCCGGUCCCGAACAGACUGAUGUGAUCACAGCGGCUGAGUAAGUCCUGGGCUGCACAGAGACUACACAAAAUCAGCUUGUGCAGCUCAGCUACACAUACGAUCGCACACUUGCACAGCGAAAAUACACUCCCCCUGUAGGCGGUGACUAUAUGAUCGCAGGACAGCAAAAAUCACUUCCUAGCGAUCAGAUCUGAAUUGGGCCCACAGUGCACUACCAUACUCCCAACAACAGCACCCAGGAAGGAGAAAAUAACAAUUUGUGCAUGUUUGCAGAAAGCAAUAUUGGUAUGUUCAAACAAUACUGUACCUAUUUGAAUAUAUUUGUAUUCAGGGGCGGAUUGGGAUCAAAAACCAGCCCGGGAAAUUUAUGGAAGCAUCCCUAAUAGGCGCGGCGGACUGUUAAGGGGGUAGAGUCUGUCAAGUGGGAGGGAUUACUGCUCAGAAUGCCAGCAUACAUGAAAGCAUGAAAGCAUGUAAAAUGCGCGCUGCAAAAUUUAUAGGGGCGUGGCUCAGUGGGAAAGGGGCAUGGCCACAUAAUAGUGCCAAUUCACAUUACACCACACAGUAGUGCCACUUAUACACAGUGCACCAUGUAGAACCUCCUAUACACACUGUGCCAGUUUGAGCACGUUAUACAUAUUCCGCCAGAUAGAGCACAUUCUACACUUUGCGCCAGGUAGAGCACGGUAUACACUUUGCGCCAGGCAGAGCACAUUAUACACAUUGCACCAGGUAAAGCACAUUAUACAUUUUGCGCCAGGCAGAGCACAUUAUACACACUGCACCAGGUAAAGCACAUUAUACACAUUGCAGUGGGUAAAGCACAUUAUACACAUUGCACCAGGUAGAGCACAUUAAACACAUUGCACCAGGUAGAGCACAUCAUACACUUUGCGCCAGGUAUAGCACGUUAUACACUUUGCGCCAGGUAGAGCACGUUCUACACUUUACGCCAGGUAGAGCACGUUAUACACUUUACGUCAGGGAGAGCACAUUAUACACAUUGCAUUAGGUAGAGCACAUUACACACAUUGCACCAGGUAGAACACGUUAUACACUUCGUGCUUGUUCAUCGCUCGUUCAUCGCUGGUGCUCCGUCGCCUGUGCAUGCAGGCCAAUAUGGACGAUCUCGUCCAUAUUUGCCUGCACUGCUAUAGAGCCGGGUGACGGGGGGAGUGA
Long non-coding RNA from Pseudophryne corroboree (corroboree frog), 3021 nucleotides. RefSeq lists it as uncharacterized. The record is from RefSeq and is a predicted model, not a curated record. The transcript is spliced from 4 exons. NCBI's taxonomy places the organism in Eukaryota, Metazoa, Chordata, Amphibia, Anura, Myobatrachidae.